This is a long non-coding RNA of Xiphophorus couchianus (Monterrey platyfish), 800 nucleotides long. RefSeq lists it as uncharacterized. The record is from RefSeq and is a predicted model, not a curated record. The transcript is spliced from 2 exons. NCBI's taxonomy places the organism in Eukaryota, Metazoa, Chordata, Actinopteri, Cyprinodontiformes, Poeciliidae.
UCCUCUUUUUCCUCCAUGUGCGCCGAUGACAAAUCAAUGUAUUAUCCCCUUCAUCUGUGUGACAGAACACUGAGGUUCAGCUGAGCCAAAUAUAUGUUAUGACUACAGGCGUGUGUGUGGCCAGAAGUAUCUGAACACAUUCAUUUGUCUUCAUGCUUCCACCAAAAGCAAGGCUACGAAAGAUUCCAACGCAAAACCGUGGAUGAAGAAAAGAAAGAAUCCGUAGGAGUCGGAUCAUGAUCGCACCGAUUCGGAACGAGGCCGCGAGCCCGGCCAUCCGGAAGAGGUCUCUCAUUUCUGCAAACAUUCUUCCUACGGAGAGGAACACAAGUCUCGGGCACACAACCGCUGCCCACAGCGCCGAGAGGGAGAGGCGGCGCUCCUACUGGACCUGCUACUGUCUAAACUGGGAGAGGAUAUCCAUAGGAAAGCAAUAACUAGCAGAGGGUUGUUAGCCUUAAGAGCUUGGCCUGCCAUCAACCUCUUCCUGUUUCUUCCACACGCUAGCUUUUUUUUUUCUUUUUCUUAUCUGUAGCCUUGUUUCACUGGGUUUUUUCAGAGGCGAGCACACAAAAGAACUCUCUGGCUUUUAGAUGACGCACCACAAAGGGAUGCACUCCAACAUUGCUGCAGGAGGAGUUGUAUGAAUGUUUCUGUUUGCAGCUUCGUCUCUUCAGACAUCAUCUAAGGCGAGCAGGCUCCGUGUUUGGAAAUUAGUUGCCCAAGAUAAAGAUACCACAAGAUAAAUUGAACAUAAUGUCGAUGUACGUUCAAAUAAAUGAAGCUAAUUCUGAAGAUGG